This is an RNA transcript of Erigeron canadensis, 1369 nucleotides long. It is a transcript of the gene named E3 ubiquitin-protein ligase RNFT1-like, with no coding region annotated. The transcript is spliced from 4 exons. The record is from RefSeq and is a predicted model, not a curated record. Lineage: Eukaryota; Viridiplantae; Streptophyta; Magnoliopsida; Asterales; Asteraceae.
CGGAAAAUAUCUCAUUAUUCAUAAGGGAGUCCUAUCUCAUAGUGCUAUCUGAUAUAUGUUUAUUUCAAAAUAAGUUCUAAUUCAUGUAGCAAAAUCCUUUUAGUGAAGUGUGGUUCUCAAUUCUUUAUUUGUUUACCGUUUUGACUACAAGGAAGAAAAAAAGAGUCAUUCAUUUACGGAAAGCUUACAAUACACGAAGAAGCUUUGUCAACAUUCCGUGACUAACUCAAUUAUUAGAGGCUUGAGAGUAGUUAUGUCAAUUACUUGAAGAAGCUUUGUAGUUUUUUUGUUAGAUAUUUUAAGAUGAUUUUGCCAUGCUGCCAUAUAAUUUAGCUCAGUGGCUUGAUUUGUGCUUUACUUGUGCUUGUCUUGGUUAGUAGAAUAACCAUGCUUUUUCAAGUUUCUCACAUAAUUUCUCAUCAAGAACAGCUCAAAAUCUCAUUCAAUCACCUCAAAUCUUGGUUAGUGCUUGUCUUGUUCCUAGUAAAUAUUGUGUUAGGUUUCUUUAUAUGGAGGAUGAGUGAGUGUGUGAAAUGUGCGUAACGUGUGUAUUGGCAGUUUAGUAGGGAACGAGAGAGAUCAGAAAAAAUGGGCAAUUUUGACGAAUGGUCUUUAAUUGGGAAUUUAUGGUUUUGGAACAAGUUAAGUACAUGGUGACUGGUGAGCAUCUAAUUGUUUUUAUGAACUAUUUCUUCUCCUCAGAUACAAUGGUCCGGCAGGCGUCAAUGACUUUAAAGUUGCUACUUCUUAUGUACUAUAAAAAUGGCAAGGGCCAUAAUUUCCGUAGGCAGGGUCAAAUGCUGACUUUGGUCGAAUACGCUUUGUUGUUAUACCGUGCAUUCUUGCCUGCUCCUGUUUGGUACCGAUUCUUUUUGAACAAAGAGUACGGAAGCAUGUUUUCUUCUUUGAUAACAGGGCUAUAUCUAACUUUCAAGCUUACAUCAGUAGUGGAGAAGGUUGGAUCCUUCUAUUCUGCAUUGAAGGCUUUAUCACGAAAAGAAAUGCAUUACGGAUCAUAUGCAACACCAGAACAGCUGCGAUAACAAAAAUAGAUAUAGACACACAUACAUACCUUAUGCUGUAUUUUUCACAGUUAAGAAUGUACUACAAAAAGGAGAAUAUUAUGAGUUAAUCGAGGAGUUCAUGUCUGCAGUCAAGCAGAACUAUGGUGAAAAAGUCCUUGUGCAGUUUUAGACGAUAUUCGAGAAGAAUGGGCAAUUUAUGUGUCGAAUUUCAUUUUUAGGUAGAAAAUAUUGUAGACCGCAUUUAACUAAUUAUCGGUAUCUAUUUGGACAUUUGGACAUGAAUCGUUAUGUAAUGAAUUGGUGACGCAUGGUUUUGAUAUAUAUGAAAUGCGUUAAUUUUGUAA